Long non-coding RNA from Triplophysa rosa, 1804 nucleotides. RefSeq lists it as uncharacterized. NCBI's taxonomy places the organism in Eukaryota, Metazoa, Chordata, Actinopteri, Cypriniformes, Nemacheilidae. The record is from RefSeq and is a predicted model, not a curated record. The transcript is spliced from 8 exons.
GCUAAGCGCAGGACAUCGUUGACAUGACUGCUUGAUUGGCGUCGCUCCGGUGAAGCUAACUUCAGCUAAAAAAUGGAGAAUAAUAAACCUCCACUCGCAGUCGGGAAGAGGAAGCUUCUACUUUUUUGAGGGUUUGUUGCUGGACCAAACACACCUCCCCACUAGUGGUUUGCCCUUUUUAAUUCGGAGAUUUUAAAUAAAAAACUAAUUAAGUAAAAAAAAGAAACACAGAGCAAGUUGGGAUGAAGCAACAUGCACUGUGUUACGGAAAACGUUCGCCACCUCAAAUUAUUCAUGUGACUCCAGAAAAGUCUCAAACAAUUUAGAUAACAGCUUCAGUGUAAAUUAGGAAGAGCAGUUUGAGCUUAAGAAUGUGGAGACAGCUGCAACACAAACAUAAAAACAGAACAUGGAACAAACAGAUUUUAAAUGUACAUACCUUUUUCUAUAUUCCUGGCAUUGUCUAAGAUGGAGAUGGAAAGACUCCAUAUGGUGCCUGCAUGUUUGUCAUGAAAUAUAAUGACUUAGAAAAGGCUAAAAUCUGGUUUAUUGCUGCUGUAUUCUAGUGAUUUAUUAUAAGAGUUAUGUUCUUAAGUUUCUGUGCAUAUUAACAUCAGAAAUAUCUGUAUAUUGCAUGUCUCUUCAGACACUUUGGAAACACAGCAAACAACAUUAUCAUUAACAACAAAGGUGUAACAUAUCUGACUAUGUGUUUUUGUUAUUUUUUCUGCCUUUUAUUUUAUAUGAUUUGAAUGUAUGUUGGUUUACUUCCUGUUGUAGUCCUGUCCAAGUUGUUGCUGUAGUUCUGUUACUUCAAAAAGUGAAAGUAAAUACAUUUGAUGAAGCACAUUAACUUGUCAAACCAGUAUUUACAAGUAAUGAAUGCUUGCUCAUUGUUAUUUCUUGUCUAGCUUAUUUCCUUGUUCGUUGACUCAAAACAGUCUUGACUCAACUAGUCAGAAGAGAAAUUUGUGAUUGAGUAAGAUCAGAGAUCUGAAGAAUAUUGUAUAAUCCAUGGAAGAAAAAAAUGGAAUUGAUGACCCAAAAACAAACAGAAAGAGCAAGGACCAUCCUAUCACAUUUAUGUCAGAGAGCACAUCACUGUCAUGCAUAACAGGAGCCAGAAUAUCUACAGAAGAUCUGAUUUUAUAUGCAUAUUUAGAGAAAGUUAAUGAAAACCAAAAACAAGAUAAAAAACACAGAGCAAGCUGGGAUGAGAAAACAUACAUUGAUAUGUUACGAAGCCUGUCUUUUACGUCUAAUGACUCGGGUUAUGAUUCCAAAAGAUCAACAAAACAUUUAGAUACAAGCUCCAGUGAUGCUGAAGAACAGAAGUUUGACAAUGAAGUUACAGAUACAUCACGAACAUAAAACUAGAACAUUUUACAAAUUAGGUCCUAAUGAUCAAAAAUUAGAUUUACAGUUUAUUUUAGUAUUAAACAAUUGCGAUUAACUUUUACACAGAAAAACACUGAAACAUUGUGGUGAAUAUCACUGGAUUCUUGAAGGUUCUCUUAGAGACCUGCAUUUCCAUGGUAAUAAUAAAUAUGUGGGUGCAUGGUCUCACACAAUACCUUCAGUAUUUAUAUUCUAAAUGUUAUAUAAAUGUAAAUGCUACAAAGAAUAAGUGUGCAAGUUUGUCUGACUGUAAGUGUAAUAAACACUAACAAAACUGCAUGUAUUGUGUAAUGUAUACAUUAUCCUAUGUUCCUAAAUGAUGAUGUUCUUAUGCUGUUGUUCCACAAAGCAGACCAUGAACUGAGAGUCAUACAAUAAAUGACAGCAGAGCUGUCAAAACAGAAGA